Molecule: long non-coding RNA, 217 nt
Filed under: Phoenix dactylifera (date palm)
Lineage: Eukaryota; Viridiplantae; Streptophyta; Magnoliopsida; Arecales; Arecaceae
Description: long non-coding RNA (PDAC_LNC005863)
Source: RNAcentral
CCUCCUACCCAGACCUUGAGGAAUUGGUUUGGGCCAUCGUUUCCUCUGAUCGGCCGAAAGCCAGGUCCUGACAGUAGCAGUUUGCCACAAAGAUUCUCCUCGAAAUAUAGCAGCCCAGCGCUUACUGAAAGAUGAAAUCUGACCCCAUUCACAGAUCGGUAACCGAACAAAAAUUUCUAUAAGGAGAUGAUCGCAAAGCUUUCAAGUAUGAUCAUUG